AACCAUAGAAACCUGCGGAGUACCUGCGGAAGGAUCAUUACCGAGUUAUACAACUCAUCAACCCUGUGAACAUACCUAUAACGUUGCCUCGGCGGGAACAGACGGCCCCGUAACACGGGCCGCCCCCGCCAGAGGACCCCCUAACUCUGUUUCUAUAAUGUUUCUUCUGAGUAAACAAGCAAAUAAAUUAAAACUUUUAACAACGGAUCU
Molecule: unclassified non-coding RNA, 210 nt
Filed under: soil metagenome
Description: partial contains 5.8S ribosomal RNA, internal transcribed spacer 2, and large subunit ribosomal RNA
Source: RNAcentral